CGAGUGAAGCGGCAACAGCUCAAAUUUGAAAUCUGGCCCCGUCGGGGUCCGAGUUGUAAUUUGUAGAGAGUGUUUCGGGUGAGACCACGGUCUAAGUCCAUUGGAACAUGGCGUCAUAGAGGGUGAGAAUCCCGUAUGUGACUGUGGCUCGAGCCCAUGUGAAGCCUCUUCGACGAGUCGAGUUGUUUGGGAAUGCAGCUCAAAAUGGGUGGUAAAUUUCAUCUAAAGCUAAAUACUGGCUGGAGACCGAUAGCGCACAAGUAGAGUGAUCGAAAGAUGAAAAGCACUUUGGAAAGAGAGUCAAAAAGUACGUGAAAUUGUUGAAAGGGAAGCGCUUGCAACCAGACCUGUCCGUAGGUGAUCAGCCGCUGUUCUCAGCGGUGCACUCGCUCUGCGAUCAGGCCAGCAUCGGUUCCGGCGGUCGGAUAAAGGCCUUGGGAAUGUAGCUCCUCUCGGGGAGUCUUAUAGCCCUCGGUGCAAUGCGGCCAGCCGGGACCGAGGACCGCGCUUCGGCUAGGAUGCUGGCGUAAUGGUUGUAAGCGACCCGUCUUGAAACACGGACCAAGGAGUCUAACAUCAAUGCGAGUGUUUGGGUGUUAAACCCAUGCGCGGAAUGAAAGUGAACGGAGGUGAGAACCCGUUAGGGCGCAUCAUCGACCGAUCCAGAUGUCUUCGGAUGGAUUUGAGUAUGAGCAUUGCUGUUGGGACCCGAAAGAUGGUGAACUAUGCCUGAAUAGGGUGAAGCCAGAGGAAACUCUGGUGGAGGCUCGCAGCGGUUCUGACGUGCAAAUCGAUCGUCAAAUUUGGGUAUAGGG
RNAcentral lists this ribosomal RNA (815 nucleotides) under Usnea glabrata. RNAcentral's name for it is "LSU rRNA". It matches the Rfam family "Eukaryotic large subunit ribosomal RNA", at positions 90 to 922 of the family's 3401-position model. Lineage: Eukaryota; Fungi; Ascomycota; Lecanoromycetes; Lecanorales; Parmeliaceae. The record is from RNAcentral.